This 834-nucleotide ribosomal RNA is filed under the name uncultured bacterium. RNAcentral's name for it is "bacterial SSU rRNA". It matches the Rfam family "Bacterial small subunit ribosomal RNA", at positions 8 to 836 of the family's 1533-position model. The record is from RNAcentral.
AGAGUUUGAUCCUGGCUCAGGAUGAACGCUAGCGGCAGGCUUAAUACAUGCAAGUCGUGGGGCAGCAUGGGGUAGCAAUACUCUGAUGGCGACCGGCAAACGGGUGAGGAACAUGUACGCAACCUUCCUUUAACUGGAGAAUAGCCCCUCGAAAGAGGGAUUAAUACUCCGUAACAUAAUGAUAAGGCAUCUUAUUAUUAUUAUAGCUUCGGCGGUUAAAGAUGGGCGUGCAUCUGAUUAGAUAGUUGGCGGGGUAACGGCCCACCAAGUCUGCGAUCAGUAAUUGGUGUGAGAGCACGACCAGUCACACGGGCACUGAGACACGGGCCCGACUCCUACGGGAGGCAGCAGUAAGGAAUAUUGGUCAAUGGACGCAAGUCUGAACCAGCCAUGCCGCGUGGAGGAUUAAGGCCCUCUGGGUUGUAAACUCCUUUUAUCUGGGAAGAAAUGUACUUUUUCUUGAGUACUUGACGGUACCAGAGGAAUAAGCACCGGCUAACUCCGUGCCAGCAGCCGCGGUAAUACGGAGGGUGCAAGCGUUAUCCGGAUUCACUGGGUUUAAAGGGUGCGUGGGCGGGCAGGUAAGUCAGUGGUGAAAUCUCCGAGCUUAACUCGGAAACUGCCAUUGAUACUAUUUGUCUUGAAUAUUGUGGAGGUAAGCGGAAUAUGUCAUGUAGCGGUGAAAUGCUUAGAUAUGACAUAGAACACCAAUUGCGAAGGCAGCUUACUACACAAUUAUUGACGCUGAGGCACGAAAGCGUGGGGAUCAACAGGAUUAGAUACCCUGGUAGUCCACGCCCUAAACGAUGAUUACUCGACAUACGCGAUACACUG